RNAcentral lists this ribosomal RNA (647 nucleotides) under uncultured bacterium. Its description in RNAcentral is "bacterial SSU rRNA". It matches the Rfam family "Bacterial small subunit ribosomal RNA", at positions 108 to 773 of the family's 1533-position model. The record is from RNAcentral.
GAGUAACGCGUGGAGAACCUGCCGUAUACUGGGGGAUAACACUUAGAAAUAGGUGCUAAUACCGCAUAAGCGCACAGCUUCGCAUGAAGCAGUGUGAAAAACUCCGGUGGUAUACGAUGGAUCCGCGUCUGAUUAGCUUGUUGGCGGGGUAAAGGCCCACCAAGGCGACGAUCAGUAGCCGGCCUGAGAGGGUGAACGGCCACAUUGGGACUGAGACACGGCCCAAACUCCUACGGGAGGCAGCAGUGGGGAAUAUUGCACAAUGGGGGAAACCCUGAUGCAGCGACGCCGCGUGAGCGAAGAAGUAUUUCGGUACGUAAAGCUCUAUCAGCAGGGAAGAAAAUGACGGUACCUGACUAAGAAGCCCCGGCUAACUACGUGCCAGCAGCCGCGGUAAUACGUAGGGGGCAAGCGUUAUCCGGAUUUACUGGGUGUAAAGGGAGCGUAGACGGCAGCGCAAGUCUGGAGUGAAAUCCCAUGGCUUAACCAUGGAACUGCUUUGGAAACUGUGCAGCUGGAGUGCAGGAGAGGUAAGCGGAAUUCCUAGUGUAGCGGUGAAAUGCGUAGAUAUUAGGAGGAACACCAGUGGCGAAGGCGGCUUACUGGACUGUAACUGACGUUGAGGCUCGAAAGCGUGGGGAGCAAAC